This 1028-nucleotide ribosomal RNA is filed under the name uncultured Flavobacteriaceae bacterium. Its description in RNAcentral is "bacterial SSU rRNA". It matches the Rfam family "Bacterial small subunit ribosomal RNA", at positions 505 to 1533 of the family's 1533-position model. The record is from RNAcentral. Lineage: Bacteria; Pseudomonadati; Bacteroidota; Flavobacteriia; Flavobacteriales; Flavobacteriaceae.
GUGCCAGCAGCCGCGGUAAUACGGAGGGUGCAAGCGUUAUCCGGAUUUAUUGGGUUUAAAGGGUCCGUAGGCGGAUGCGUAAGUCAGUGGUGAAAUCUCACAGCUCAACUGUGAAACUGCCAUUGAUACUGCGUGUCUUGAGUGAGGUUGAAGUAGCUGGAAUAAGUAGUGUAGCGGUGAAAUGCAUAGAUAUUACUAAGAACACCAAUUGCGAAGGCAGGUUACUAAGUCUCAACUGACGCUGAUGGACGAAAGCGUGGGGAGCGAACAGGAUUAGAUACCCUGGUAGUCCACGCUGUAAACGGUGCUAACUCGUUUUUGGGGAUUUAUCUUCAGAGACUAAGCGAAAGUGAUAAGUUAGCCACCUGGGGAGUACGAACGCAAGUUUGAAACUCAAAGGAAUUGACGGGGGCCCGCACAAGCGGUGGAUUAUGUGGUUUAAUUCGAUGAUACGCGAGGAACCUUACCAAGGCUUAAAUGGGAAUUGAUCGGUUUAGAAAUAGACCUUCCUUCGGGCAAUUUUCAAAGGUGCUGCAUGGUUGUCGUCAGCUCGUGCCGUGAGGUGUUAAGGUUAAGUCCUGCAACGAGCGCAACCCCUGUCACUAGUUGCCAUCAUUCAGUUGGGGACUCUAGUGAGACUGCCUACGCAAGUAGAGAGGAAGGUGGGGAUGACGUCAAAUCAUCACGGCCCUUACGCCUUGGGCCACACACGUAAUACAAUGGCCGGUACAGAGGGCAGCUACACAGCGAUGUGAUGCAAAUCCCGAAAGCCGGUCUCAGUUCGGAUUGGAGUCUGCAACUCGACUCUAUGAAGCUGGAAUCGCUAGUAAUCGCGCAUCAGCCAUGGCGCGGUGAAUACGUUCCCGGGCCUUGUACACACCGCCCGUCAAGCCAUGGAAGUCUGGGGUACCUGAAGUCGGUGACCGUAAAAGGAGCUGCCUAGGGUAAAACAGGUAAGUAGGGUAAGUCGUAACAAGGUAACCAAUGAAUCCCGCGGCCGCCUGGCGGCCCGGAGGCACGGGACUUCA